AUUGUACUUCCUUCAUCCCAAAAUUCUUGUCUUAAGUUUGUUUAGAAAUGAAUAUAUCUAAAUAUUAAAAUAUAACUAGAUACAUUUAUAUUUAGACAAAUCUAAUACAAGAAUUUUGGGACCAAAGAAGUACAAC
Molecule: non-coding RNA, 136 nt
Organism: Hordeum vulgare subsp. vulgare (domesticated barley)
Lineage: Eukaryota; Viridiplantae; Streptophyta; Magnoliopsida; Poales; Poaceae
Source: Rfam